UUAACUCAUAUUUGUAUGGAAUGAGAUCGUUUGCCUACGUUUGCCGUUAGGGGCGCUGUUCCAACUGCAUACAAAAUUGGGUUA
RNAcentral lists this microRNA precursor (84 nucleotides) under Bombyx mori (domestic silkworm). RNAcentral describes it as "mir-2807 microRNA precursor family". It matches the Rfam family "mir-2807 microRNA precursor family". Lineage: Eukaryota; Metazoa; Arthropoda; Insecta; Lepidoptera; Bombycidae. The record is from Rfam by way of RNAcentral.